RNAcentral lists this small nuclear RNA (125 nucleotides) under Fukomys damarensis (Damara mole-rat). RNAcentral describes it as "U2 spliceosomal RNA". It matches the Rfam family "U2 spliceosomal RNA". From Rfam's summary of the family: U2 is a small nuclear RNA (snRNA) component of the spliceosome (involved in pre-mRNA splicing). Complementary binding between U2 snRNA (in an area lying towards the 5' end but 3' to hairpin I) and the branchpoint sequence (BPS) of the intron results the bulging out of an unpaired adenosine, on the BPS, which initiates a nucleophilic attack at the intronic 5' splice site, thus starting the first of two transesterification reactions that mediate splicing. The record is from Rfam by way of RNAcentral. Lineage: Eukaryota; Metazoa; Chordata; Mammalia; Rodentia; Bathyergidae.
AUCGCUUCUCGGCCUUUUGGCUAAGAUCAAGUGUAAUAGGGUACGGUAUAUGUUUUUGUCAUUUUUGAUUCAUUUAUUUAGCAAUGUUUUGAUAACCUCUAAAUAACUAGAUAUUUCAAAGUUCC